RNAcentral lists this ribosomal RNA (206 nucleotides) under uncultured bacterium. RNAcentral describes it as "partial 16S ribosomal RNA". It matches the Rfam family "Bacterial small subunit ribosomal RNA", at positions 524 to 731 of the family's 1533-position model. The record is from RNAcentral.
UACGUAGGGUCCAAGCGUUAAUCGGAAUUACUGGGCGUAAAGCGUGCGCAGGCGGUUGCGCAAGACCGAUGUGAAAUCCCGGGCUAACCUGGGAGUUGCAUUGGUGACUGCACGGCUAGAGUGUGUCAGAGGGGGGUAGAAUUCCACGUGUAGCAGUGAAAUGCGUAGAGAUGUGGAGGAAUACCGAUGGCGAAGGCAGCCCCCGG